Elgaria multicarinata webbii is the source of this 1224-nucleotide long non-coding RNA. RefSeq lists it as uncharacterized. NCBI's taxonomy places the organism in Eukaryota, Metazoa, Chordata, Lepidosauria, Squamata, Anguidae. The record is from RefSeq and is a predicted model, not a curated record. The transcript is spliced from 3 exons.
AACACAUCUGGAGCGCCCCAGGUUGAGGAAGGCUGCUCUAAGAAAUUUUAAUUAUUGGUGGAACAUUUGGUCCGAUCCAGAAAAAUAGUGCUAAUCCCUGAAUUUCAGAGAGGACGGUGAUGCUUUCGGUUCAGUGAAAAAGGGAGGAUCUAUUCAUUCCACCUAAGUAUCACUUUCCAUUCUUGAGCAACGACUGGGGACCUGAGGAACAUCCGAACUCAGAGAUCCAAGAAAUCAGCCGGAUCGAGAGAAAAGAAAGAGAGACGAGGGAUCAGUUUAUGACCAGCAGUGCAAUUUCUUGGUACACUUUUCCAGUCCUCACAGCAGUCUGCCUCAUCCCCCUGCUGGUGAAGGCAGCUAUGCUUGACGUGGUGGUGAGUGCCGGCGGAAAUGGAGCCCUAACAAGAUACCUCCCUCUUGAAACACGUGCUUGGGGGAAACCCAACAACAUCUUUUAAAAAGGGGUGCCCCCACCCGCCAAAGAAAGAAACAGCCCAAUCAGGCCACAGAAAUCGGAUUCUCUGAGUGCAAAAUUGGGGUGAUCUUCAUGCCAUGUUUGAGCAGCUCAACCGUCAUGCAAGCAAAUAGAAGUUGGGUACAAGAGGUGCGUUGCGCUGAUAAAACACAGAGCAGCCAAGAUUGCUUCAGAGGUGCCUCAGUGCUUGUGCAACUCUGCAAUGAUGCCACAUGAGGUAGAGAACCAUGGAGACGCCCCCUGAACCUAUCGGGAAGCACAUUCAGACUUCACGCCGAAGGUUCAAGCCUGACCACAUUAGAGGGUCUUUGUUCAUACACAGCCUAACAGUUGUGGAAUGCGCAGAAGUAAGGCAGACUCUCACCAACCACAGCGCCAGUUAUUAUCAGGAGGGGCAGUGCCCAGUCCAAAUGCAGAAAUGAUACCCAGUGUGCAGACAAUGUGGUAUGAGAGAAAUUGAGACCGAAAGGCGUGCGUUUCUGCUCCAAGGUCUUAGACAGGAGGAAGUGUGUUUCAGAUUAUCAGAAAUGGUGCGUCUUUCCCAGCGCAAGCUGUGUUUUUUCUUGGAAGAAAGAGAAAAUGAGAGACAAACAGAAUGAGUGCAGAGCUGUCAUUGAGGGACCGGCUCCUACCUGUCACCGGGUUCAGAAUGAAGGACGCUAUUGGAUCGAUCAGGUCUGAAAUACAUCAGACUCCGGAAACAGACUAUGUAGGAAGAAGAGGCCAGUAGAUAACAAGUGGGUGGAUAA